CACUGGAAAAUUGAAUAUCCUGAGACAGCCGGUGUCCCGCUUGUUCGGGACUUAAUGAACGCCAGCCGAGGAAAAAAUCAGACUCAUAAGAGUUGAUUCUAAGUCCUUGUGCAUGGCACAGGGACUUUUUUAUUGAAAGG
Regulatory RNA element from Dehalogenimonas formicexedens, 140 nucleotides. It matches the Rfam family "Ribosomal protein L10 leader". Rfam says of the family: This family is a putative r-protein leader autoregulatory structure found in B. subtilis and other low-GC Gram-positive bacteria. It is located in the 5' untranslated regions of mRNAs encoding ribosomal proteins L10 and L12 (rplJ-rplL). A Rho-independent transcription terminator structure that is probably involved in regulation is included at the 3' end. The record is from Rfam. NCBI's taxonomy places the organism in Bacteria, Bacillati, Chloroflexota, Dehalococcoidia, Dehalococcoidales, Dehalococcoidaceae.